UCCAGACUCCUACGGGAGGCAGCAGUGAGGAAUAUUGGUCAAUGGGCGGAAGCCUGAACCAGCCAAGUCGCGUGAGGGAAUAAGGCCCUACGGGUCGUAAACCUCUUUUGCCGGGGAGCAAGGGCGGGGACGUGUCCCGGCCCGGAGAGUACCCGGAGAAAAAGCAUCGGCUAACUCCGUGCCAGCAGCCGCGGUAAUACGGAGGAUGCGAGCGUUAUCCGGAUUUAUUGGGUUUAAAGGGUGCGUAGGCGGGCUUUUAAGUCAGCGGUAAAAAUUCGGGGCUCAACCCCGUCCGGCCGUUGAAACUGGUGGCCUUGAGUGGGCGAGAAGAAGGCGGAAUGCGUGGUGUAGCGGUGAAAUGCAUAGAUAUCACGCAGAACCCCGAUUGCGAAGGCAGCAUACCGGUGCACAACUGACGCUCAGGCACGAAAGCGUGUGUAUCGAACAGGAUUAGAUACCCCAGUA
RNAcentral lists this ribosomal RNA (465 nucleotides) under uncultured bacterium. RNAcentral's name for it is "bacterial SSU rRNA". It matches the Rfam family "Bacterial small subunit ribosomal RNA", at positions 330 to 792 of the family's 1533-position model. The record is from RNAcentral.